UUCACAACUUGUGUUGGUUGUACUGUAGUGGAUUUGAGUGAUUGCACUUUUUGCACCAUUUGCACCAUUUUGUUGGGAAAUGUUGUCUUGGCAAUCUGUUUCCUUUUGUUGAUGUUCUGAGUAGCUGCAGUGCAUUUAUACUCAUCCAGAUAAUGUCUCUUGCGGGAUAUUGGAUGGUUACUUCAGUAAUGGUUAGAAUGGAUUGCUUUUCCAAUAGACUUGCUUUUCUGAUUUGCCAUUGUUUCCUGUGCUGGUGAGGAUAUCCAGGAACAAUUUACAUGUCUUCUUUUUCCUCUGUGAAUGAUAUCCCUUUGAAGAUAUGUUGAUUGUUUUAUGUGUCUCUUCUAGUUUGUUUCUCUUUUUAUUGUGACAAACAUGCCAUCUACAUACUAGAUCCAUACUUCUAGUCAUACCGGUACUUAUGGGAGUAAUUUCUAGAUCUGUGUUACAGUCUUUGCUAUGAGCUAUGUGAGUGAUGAUCCUCCCAGGGUGUUUCUCUGACUUGUUGAUUUAUUUGUCCAUCAUACAGAAAGCAAGUGGGUGAGGCAGAGGUAGUGGGUAUUUCAAGAUUUAUGUAUUUGGCAAGAUUGGGUGUGUUGUAUGCUUCGAGCCAUGGAUUUUUUUCACUAGUUCUGGAUCUAUUUAUUUAUUUAUUAGAUUUGAUUGACACCCACCUCGCACCAAGGUGUCUCUGGGCAGCUUAUUUAUUCAGUUAUUAGAUAUGAAAGGCUGCGAUAUUUGAAUGAAACCAUAAUUUCAUCUUCUUCUAUUUUUGAUUUUCAAGAGGCACUGUAGUGGGAAGUUAAUAGAAUAUUUGCUCUUCUCUGUGAUUACAAAUGAAAAUGAAAAAUAUUGAAGACAUUAAACAGUAAUAAAAUUAAAGGAAAAGGAGAAGGUAAUCAAACCAGAACGUAAAAAAUUCAAUAACAACAAAAUACAAUUUCUUAGUGCAUAACCAGGAGAGUCUGCAAGGUGGGGGUGGGGAAAUCAAUAUGGAGGU
Molecule: non-coding RNA, 1000 nt
Organism: Notechis scutatus (mainland tiger snake)
Lineage: Eukaryota; Metazoa; Chordata; Lepidosauria; Squamata; Elapidae
Source: RefSeq, a predicted model, not a curated record